CUCAGCUCCAAAGCAGAAGCGUUUGUUACCCUGGGUAGGGCGCCUUAAAGAUUCCUCGAGUUUCCUGUCUACGGAGGCCAGAGGUUUGGGCAUCCGCACAGGUCGAGCCUCCUUGUGCCCCUACACUCGGGUUGCAAAGGCCGGCAGCAUCACUGCUGUAUAUUCCUGAUCGCUAAGAAGCACAUCCUGUAAGCCUCUGCGCCAGAACGGGUUGUCGUCGGGUGCUUCGGGUUCAGGUGAGGCACCCUACCCGAGUUUUGCGCCCAGGGAUUGGGGACCUUCUGUCCGGGGCUGGGCCAGGGAGGGCCGGGCAGGUGCAGCACCCGGGCGCGCGCCUCCUCCCGCCGCGCACUGAGCAUGCUCAGCCCGGCUGCGCGCGGGCUCCCGCCCUCCCCGUGUCUCUCCUCGGCUCCACGCGUCUCCGCCUCCUUGAGGCUGAGGAGCCGGCUGCUUGAACUCUGCCGCGCCGGGUUUUUUGAGCUGCCGGGAGCGCUGGGAGCGAGGAGAGCGCGGCACCAGACGGAGCACCGGGUUCAACACCGGGAUUGGUCGCAAGUGGGAAGCUUUCGCCACUACAGCGGGACCCUCGGGCUCUGCCGACGCCGUUUCCUGGGAGGCUGUAGCGGGCGCUGCGCUCAGGUGCGGAGCACAUUUCAAUUCAGAUUAGCCACAUUUUGGAAAUGACAGAGUAUGACUUCCAUGACUAAAUCAUUAAAGACGUUGGAGCUUUUGCCUAGUUCUCUCUUGGCUAAGCCAGAAGUGAUGUGGAACCUUAAGGAUGCUUAUGCAGGCCCAUGGAGGUUUCCAUAGGAUGGAGAACUAAGACAUGCUACCAAAGCCGGCAUCAACUUCCUGGCCAUGUGAGUGAAUCAUCUUUUUAUUUUACUUUAUUUUAUUUUAUUUAUUUAUUUGAGAGAGAGAGAGA
This is a long non-coding RNA of Mustela putorius furo (domestic ferret), 925 nucleotides long. The record is from Ensembl. Lineage: Eukaryota; Metazoa; Chordata; Mammalia; Carnivora; Mustelidae.